GACCAUAAUAUUUGCCAAAGUGUAGUCUUGAAAGGAAGUAGCCAGUUUGAAACUGGUGCCAUAAAGCUGCUUUCUGACUUGCUAAUGUCGACUUCUUGUAAGUAAUUUCACUGGUCAGUCAAAUUUUGCAAAAGAGUGUUAGCACGUGUAUACACACUUGACAUCAUUUACCAUGUCUACAGCAGAUUUUGGUCUUAAUAAAGAGACUUACUGUUGUUUCUAUGUAAGCUUAUCAAACCAAGAAAAGACUAGUGGCUUAAGUCGCAGACUGCCAUAU
Molecule: long non-coding RNA, 277 nt
Organism: Haliotis rufescens (red abalone)
Lineage: Eukaryota; Metazoa; Mollusca; Gastropoda; Lepetellida; Haliotidae
Exons: 2
Source: RefSeq, a predicted model, not a curated record